This 382-nucleotide ribosomal RNA is filed under the name uncultured bacterium. RNAcentral's name for it is "partial 16S ribosomal RNA". It matches the Rfam family "Bacterial small subunit ribosomal RNA", at positions 355 to 729 of the family's 1533-position model. The record is from RNAcentral.
UGGGGAAUUUUGGACAAUGGGCGAAAGCCUGAUCCAGCAAUGCCGCGUGUGUGAAGAAGGCCUUCGGGUUGUAAAGCACUUUUGUCCGGAAAGAAAUCCUUGGCUCUAAUACAGUCGGGGGAUGACGGUACCGGAAGAAUAAGCACCGGCUAACUACGUGCCAGCAGCCGCGGUAAUACGUAGGGUGCAAGCGUUAAUCGGAAUUACUGGGCGUAAAGCGUGCGCAGGCGGUUUGCUAAGACCGAUGUGAAAUCCCCGGGCUCAACCUGGGAACUGCAUUGGUGACUGGCAGGCUAGAGUAUGGCAGAGGGGGGUAGAAUUCCACGUGUAGCAGUGAAAUGCGUAGAGAUGUGGAGGAAUACCGAUGGCGAAGGCAGCCCCU